This 462-nucleotide ribosomal RNA is filed under the name uncultured bacterium. RNAcentral describes it as "partial 16S ribosomal RNA". It matches the Rfam family "Bacterial small subunit ribosomal RNA", at positions 28 to 507 of the family's 1533-position model. The record is from RNAcentral.
GAUGAACGCUGACAGAAUGCUUAACACAUGCAAGUCUUUGGCGAAGCUGUGCUUGCACAGCCUAUCCAAGUCGGACGGGUGAGUAACGCGUAAGGAACUUGCCCUGCAUUCAGGGAUAACAGACGGAAACGACGGAUAAGACCAGGUAAAAUCAGGCGUACUAAUGUACAGCCUGAUGAAAAGAGAUGCUGCAGGAGAGCCUUGCGUCCUAUUAGCUUGUGGGUGGGGUAACGGCCCACCAAGGCGAUGAUAGGUAGCCGGCCUGAGAGAGAGGACGGCCACAAGGGGACGGAGAUACGGACUUUAGUACUACGCGAGGCAGGCGUGGGGAAUAUUGGACAAUGGCGGCUAAGCUGAGAAAGCAUUCCUGUGUGAAAGAUGAAGGUUUUCGGAUGGUAAAGUGCUUUCAGAACGGAAGACAAAAUGACGGUACCUGCAGAAGAAGCGACGGCUAACUACGUG